This 255-nucleotide ribosomal RNA is filed under the name uncultured bacterium. RNAcentral describes it as "partial 16S ribosomal RNA". It matches the Rfam family "Bacterial small subunit ribosomal RNA", at positions 524 to 776 of the family's 1533-position model. The record is from RNAcentral.
UACGGGGGGAGCAAGCGUUGUUCGGAUUUACUGGGCGUAAAGGGCGCGUAGGCGGCCAGCACAAGUCAGUUGUGAAAUCUCCGAGCUUAACUCGGAACGGUCAACUGAUACUGCGGGGCUAGAGUGCAGAAGGGGCAACUGGAAUUCUCGGUGUAGCGGUGAAAUGCGUAGAUAUCGAGAGGAACACCUGCGGCGAAGGCGGGUUGCUGGGCUGACACUGACGCUGACAGCGCGAAAGCUAGGGGAGCGAACGGG